Molecule: ribosomal RNA, 254 nt
Filed under: uncultured bacterium
Lineage: Bacteria
Description: partial 16S ribosomal RNA
Rfam family: Bacterial small subunit ribosomal RNA
Source: RNAcentral
UACGUAGGGGGCAAGUGUUGUCCGGAUUCAUUGGGCGUAAAGAGCUCGUAGGCGGUUCAGUAAGUCGGGUGUGAAAGCUCCGAGCUCAACUCGGAGAGGCCACCCGAUACUGCUGUGACUUGAGUCCAGUAGAGGAGCGUGGAAUUCCUGGUGUAGCGGUGAAAUGCGCAGAUAUCAGGAGGAACACCAGCAGCGAAGGCGGCGCUCUGGGCUGGAACUGACGCUGAGGAGCGAAAGCGUGGGUAGCAAACAGG